GGAUCGAGAUUUUUUCUCUCUCAAGGCCAUUAGCUCACCGAUUCGCUUCUCUUCUCUCUCUUCCUCUCGUCCUUCAAUUCCCCCGAAAGAGAGAAGCGGAAACCCUAUCUCCGGCCCCGAAUGGCGAACAGCAAUCUACCUCGCCGAAUUAUCAAGGAAACGCAGCGCCUCCUCAGCGAGCCAGCUCCUGGCAUAAGUGCCUCUCCAUCAGAGGACAAUAUGCGCUAUUUUAAUGUGAUGAUUCUUGGACCGACGCAGUCUCCAUAUGAAGGAGGGGUUUUCAAGCUUGAAUUGUUCUUGCCUGAAGAGUAUCCUAUGGCUGCCCCGAAGGUUCGCUUUCUCACCAAGAUUUACCAUCCUAAUAUUGACAAGCUUGGAAGAAUAUGCCUUGAUAUUCUUAAAGAUAAAUGGAGUCCAGCUCUCCAGAUUCGAACUGUAUUGCUGAGGUUACAUGAUUAUUUCCAUUGCACUAUUACUUAUUCAAGCGCUUCUGAGUGCUCCAAACCCAGAUGACCCUCUUUCUGACAACAUUGCAAAGCAUUGGAAGGCAAAUGAAGCUGAAGCUGUAGAAACAGCCAAGGAAUGGACCCGUCUAUAUGCCAGCGGGGCAUGACGACAUUGCAGUAGUAGCUGUGUGCUCGUAAUAACUAGUCCACUUUGGAAGUUAAUUCGGCCAUUGUUUGCUUGCAACAAUGCAAUGGAAGUGUUGGAUGGUGCUCCUUUCAAAUGUUAGUCCUUCCAAGCUCCAAUUAUACCAUAUGAUGUAAAUCACUUCGUUGGGCUGAAGCCACCUUUUCAGAUAUCAUUUGUGUCACUAGUCGAAGUUUGCUGUUUUUGGGUCUCUUGUGCAAGGAGCAUUCAGUUUCAUAAUAACAUAGGUGCAUUUUACGAUUUUCAUGUUUUAAAACAGCAGAUAUUGGAACUUGUUAAGGCAGUUUGUUUGUGCGCAAGU
Phoenix dactylifera (date palm) is the source of this 952-nucleotide RNA transcript. It is a transcript of the gene named ubiquitin-conjugating enzyme E2 36, with no coding region annotated. Lineage: Eukaryota; Viridiplantae; Streptophyta; Magnoliopsida; Arecales; Arecaceae. The record is from RefSeq and is a predicted model, not a curated record.